Molecule: long non-coding RNA, 876 nt
Organism: Anneissia japonica
Lineage: Eukaryota; Metazoa; Echinodermata; Crinoidea; Comatulida; Comatulidae
Exons: 2
Source: RefSeq, a predicted model, not a curated record
GGUUGAAGGCGAACAAUGCGGAGGGCUAUGGGAUAUUAAUGGCAAGUGUUCUACCGGUUUGGAAUGUGUGAACGAACCCCAGCCAGAGAACCAGGAAAUGCCUAUGUUCUUCAUGGACUCUGGAAUUUGCAGAAAGAUAGAGGUUGCUUCGUAAAUUGAAGAGGAGUACCGGUUAUGAGUUAAAUCGAAAAUAAAAAAUCUUCAAGUCUGGGAAGAAAGAAAAUACAAUCACCAAAAAGACAGUUACCGACCUCAAUCAACAAAGGCCGGACAUCAAGUAUUUUUUUAUGCGGCAUCCUUCUGUAGUGUAUUAUUCUAAAUGAUUUUAAAUAGAUUUGAUGUUAUUGAAUGCGAUGAUGAUCAUAAUAGAUAACUCGUUAUCGAGUAUCAGUAGAGAAAAGGACAACGAAGCCGAAUAUUGCGUCCAGAUACACAAAGACAGCGCGCGGUGCAAUGCUGUUUGAAAUCGAGAACAUAAAAUUAACAUCAUCAAAUUCAUACAUUAAAUGUUAUUAUUAUUUUUAUUGAUAUCUUUAUUGUAAUGUAUAAAUAUUUAUGUGUUUAAUAUAUGUAAAAAAAUAUUUGUGUUAAGUAUAGAUAUUCUAUAUGUAAGGUAGUUAACGCUUAGAAUAAGUUUGUUACACGUAGAAGAUAAGAUGAUACAUGUCUGUCUGCUUAUAUACAAUUGUUGUAAAUUAAAUUAAUGUUUAUAUUUCUGACGGAGAUAAAGGCAGUCCCACGGAAUAAUGUAAUAAAUUUGAUAUGACGUAUAACGAUAAUAAUUACUUAGAAAUUCUCUAGAUAUGAAUAUAACAAUAGGUGUUUUGUUAUAAGAUUACGUCGUUUUUGUUGAUUAAAAUGAUUUGUUGCAAUUAC